AGCAGCCGCGGUAAUUCCAGCUCCAAUAGCGUAUAUUAAAGUUGUUGCAGUUAAAAAGCUCGUAGUUGAAUUUCGGGAUCAAUUAAUUGGUCGUGCCUCUGGUACGUACUGAUUUUAUUGGUUUCUCCCUUCUGACGAACCAUGAUGUCAUUAAUUUGGUGUCGUGAAGAAUCAGGACUGUUACUUUGAAAAAAUUUAGAGUGUUUAAAGCAAGCUAACGCUUGAAUACAUUAGCAUGGAAUAAUGAAAUAGGACGUUUGAUCCUAUUUUGUUGGUUUCUAGGAUCGACGUAAUGAUUAAUAGGGAUAGUUGGGGGCAUUAGUAUUCAAUUGUCAGAGGUGAAAUUCUUGGAUUUAUUGAAGGCUAACUACUGCGAAAGCAUUUGCCAAGGAUGUUUUCAUUAAUCAAGAACGAAAGUUAGGGGAUCGAAGACGAUCAGAUACCGUCGUAGUCUUAACCAUAAAACUAUGCCGACUAGGGAUCGGAUGAUGUUAAUUUUUUAAUGACUCAUUCGGCGCCU
Molecule: ribosomal RNA, 520 nt
Filed under: uncultured Glomus
Lineage: Eukaryota; Fungi; Glomeromycota; Glomeromycetes; Glomerales; Glomeraceae
Description: SSU rRNA
Rfam family: Eukaryotic small subunit ribosomal RNA
Source: RNAcentral